CGUGCCAGCAGCCGCGGUAAUACGGAGGAUCCAAGCGUUAUCCGGAAUCAUUGGGUUUAAAGGGUCCGUAGGCGGUCUUAUAAGUCAGUGGUGAAAUCUCCCCGCUCAACGGGGAAACGGCCAUUGAUACUGUAGGACUUGAAUUAUUAGGAAGUAACUAGAAUAUGUAGUGUAGCGGUGAAAUGCUUAGAGAUUACAUGGAAUACCAAUUGCGAAGGCAGGUUACUACUAAUGGAUUGACGCUGAUGGACGAAAGCGUGGGUAGCGAACAGGAUUAGAUACCCUGGUAGUCCACGCCGUAAACGAUGGAUACUAGCUGUUGGGAGCGAUCUCAGUGGCUAAGCGAAAGUGAUAAGUAUCCCACCUGGGGAGUACGUUCGCAAGAAUGAAACUCAAAGGAAUUGACGGGGGCCCGCACAAGCGGUGGAGCAUGUGGUUUAAUUCGAUGAUACGCGAGGAACCUUACCAAGGCUUAAAUGUAGAUUGACCGGUUUGGAAACAGACUUUUCGCAAGACAAUUUACAAGGUGCUGCAUGGUUGUCGUCAGCUCGUGCCGUGAGGUGUCAGGUUAAGUCCUAUAACGAGCGCAACCCCUGUUGUU
RNAcentral lists this ribosomal RNA (601 nucleotides) under uncultured Bacteroidota bacterium. RNAcentral's name for it is "bacterial SSU rRNA". It matches the Rfam family "Bacterial small subunit ribosomal RNA", at positions 504 to 1112 of the family's 1533-position model. The record is from RNAcentral. Lineage: Bacteria; Pseudomonadati; Bacteroidota.